GAUGAAGAACGCAGCGAAAUGCGAUAAGUAGUGUGAAUUGCAGAAUUCAGUGAAUCAUCGAAUCUUUGAACGCACAUUGCGCCCCAUGGUAUUCCGUGGGGCAUGCCUGUUCGAGCGUCAUUUACCCCCUCAAGCUCCGCUUGGUGUUGGGCGUCUGUCCCGCUUCGCGCGCGGACUCGCCCCAAAGGUAUUGGCAGCGGUCGUGCCAGCUUCUCGCGCAGCACAUUGCGCUUCUCGAGGCACCGGUGGGCCCGUGUCCAUCAAGCUCACCCCCCCAGUUUGACCUCGGAUCAGGUAGGGAUACCCGCUGAACUUAAGCAUAUCAAUAAGCGGAGGA
Molecule: unclassified non-coding RNA, 337 nt
Filed under: soil metagenome
Description: partial contains 5.8S ribosomal RNA, internal transcribed spacer 2, and large subunit ribosomal RNA
Rfam family: 5.8S ribosomal RNA (bases 1-120)
Source: RNAcentral